RNAcentral lists this ribosomal RNA (1545 nucleotides) under Lactiplantibacillus plantarum. Its description in RNAcentral is "Lactobacillus plantarum 16S ribosomal RNA". It matches the Rfam family "Bacterial small subunit ribosomal RNA". Lineage: Bacteria; Bacillati; Bacillota; Bacilli; Lactobacillales; Lactobacillaceae. The record is from RNAcentral.
UGAUCAUGGCUCAGGACGAACGCUGGCGGCGUGCCUAAUACAUGCAAGUCGAACGAACUCUGGUAUUGAUUGGUGCUUGCAUCAUGAUUUACAUUUGAGUGAGUGGCGAACUGGUGAGUAACACGUGGGAAACCUGCCCAGAAGCGGGGGAUAACACCUGGAAACAGAUGCUAAUACCGCAUAACAACUUGGACCGCAUGGUCCGAGCUUGAAAGAUGGCUUCGGCUAUCACUUUUGGAUGGUCCCGCGGCGUAUUAGCUAGAUGGUGAGGUAACGGCUCACCAUGGCAAUGAUACGUAGCCGACCUGAGAGGGUAAUCGGCCACAUUGGGACUGAGACACGGCCCAAACUCCUACGGGAGGCAGCAGUAGGGAAUCUUCCACAAUGGACGAAAGUCUGAUGGAGCAACGCCGCGUGAGUGAAGAAGGGUUUCGGCUCGUAAAACUCUGUUGUUAAAGAAGAACAUAUCUGAGAGUAACUGUUCAGGUAUUGACGGUAUUUAACCAGAAAGCCACGGCUAACUACGUGCCAGCAGCCGCGGUAAUACGUAGGUGGCAAGCGUUGUCCGGAUUUAUUGGGCGUAAAGCGAGCGCAGGCGGUUUUUUAAGUCUGAUGUGAAAGCCUUCGGCUCAACCGAAGAAGUGCAUCGGAAACUGGGAAACUUGAGUGCAGAAGAGGACAGUGGAACUCCAUGUGUAGCGGUGAAAUGCGUAGAUAUAUGGAAGAACACCAGUGGCGAAGGCGGCUGUCUGGUCUGUAACUGACGCUGAGGCUCGAAAGUAUGGGUAGCAAACAGGAUUAGAUACCCUGGUAGUCCAUACCGUAAACGAUGAAUGCUAAGUGUUGGAGGGUUUCCGCCCUUCAGUGCUGCAGCUAACGCAUUAAGCAUUCCGCCUGGGGAGUACGGCCGCAAGGCUGAAACUCAAAGGAAUUGACGGGGGCCCGCACAAGCGGUGGAGCAUGUGGUUUAAUUCGAAGCUACGCGAAGAACCUUACCAGGUCUUGACAUACUAUGCAAAUCUAAGAGAUUAGACGUUCCCUUCGGGGACAUGGAUACAGGUGGUGCAUGGUUGUCGUCAGCUCGUGUCGUGAGAUGUUGGGUUAAGUCCCGCAACGAGCGCAACCCUUAUUAUCAGUUGCCAGCAUUAAGUUGGGCACUCUGGUGAGACUGCCGGUGACAAACCGGAGGAAGGUGGGGAUGACGUCAAAUCAUCAUGCCCCUUAUGACCUGGGCUACACACGUGCUACAAUGGAUGGUACAACGAGUUGCGAACUCGCGAGAGUAAGCUAAUCUCUUAAAGCCAUUCUCAGUUCGGAUUGUAGGCUGCAACUCGCCUACAUGAAGUCGGAAUCGCUAGUAAUCGCGGAUCAGCAUGCCGCGGUGAAUACGUUCCCGGGCCUUGUACACACCGCCCGUCACACCAUGAGAGUUUGUAACACCCAAAGUCGGUGGGGUAACCUUUUAGGAACCAGCCGCCUAAGGUGGGACAGAUGAUUAGGGUGAAGUCGUAACAAGGUAGCCGUAGGAGAACCUGCGGUUGGAUC